Arachis ipaensis is the source of this 269-nucleotide non-coding RNA. NCBI's taxonomy places the organism in Eukaryota, Viridiplantae, Streptophyta, Magnoliopsida, Fabales, Fabaceae. The record is from RefSeq and is a predicted model, not a curated record.
AUUCGUAAUCUUUUAUUCAAAGAAUACAAAAGAAUACAAGGUGAUUUUCGUAGAAUGGCUCAAAAAAUCUUCUUGUGCAUUCUUUUCGUAGCAGUGCUAUUGGCUUCAGAAGCAACAAGUGGCACAAUAAUGGUUGAAGGCGAAAGGAAGGUGUGCGCCAAGAGUAAAGGAAAAUGUCCAGAUAACAAUGCCGCUUGCUUUGAAGACUGUGUAGAAAGGAAUUACGUCGAUGGCCAUUGUGAGGGCUUCAAUUGUUGCUGUUUCAGUCA